GAUGAACGCUGGCGGCGUGCUUAACACAUGCAAGUCGAACGAAACACUUUGAUCGAUUUCUUCGGAUUGAAAUUUUAGUGACUGAGUGGCGGACGGGUGAGUAACGCGUGGGUAACCUGCCUCACACAGGGGGAUAACAGUUGGAAACGGCUGCUAAUACCGCAUAACCGCACAGUACCGCAUGGUACAGUGUGAAAAACUCCGGUGGUGUGAGAUGGACCCGCGUCUGAUUAGCUAGUUGGCAGGGCGACGGCCUACCAAGGCGACGAUCAGUAGCCGACCUGAGAGGGUGACCGGCCACAUUGGGACUGAGACACGGCCCAGACUCCUACGGGAGGCAGCAGUGGGGAAUAUUGCACAAUGGGGGAAACCCUGAUGCAGCGACGCCGCGUGAGCGAAGAAGUAUUUCGGUAUGUAAAGCUUUAUCAGCAGGGAAGAAGAAAUGACGGUACCUGACUAAGAAGCACCGGCUAAAUACGUGCCAGCAGCCGCGGUAAUACGUAUGGUGCAAGCGUUAUCCGGAUUUACUGGGUGUAAAGGGAGCGCAGGCGGAAGGCUAAGUCUGAUGUGAAAGCCCGGGGCUCAACCCCGGUACUGCAUUGGAAACUGGUCAUCUAGAGUGUCGGAGGGGUAAGUGGAAUUCCUAGUGUAGCGGUGAAAUGCGUAGAUAUUAGGAGGAACACCAGUGGCGAAGGCGGCUUACUGGACGAUAACUGACGCUGAGGCUCGAAAGCGUGGGGAGCAAACAGAA
This 751-nucleotide ribosomal RNA is filed under the name uncultured bacterium. RNAcentral describes it as "bacterial SSU rRNA". It matches the Rfam family "Bacterial small subunit ribosomal RNA", at positions 28 to 777 of the family's 1533-position model. The record is from RNAcentral.